This 253-nucleotide ribosomal RNA is filed under the name uncultured bacterium. Its description in RNAcentral is "partial 16S ribosomal RNA". It matches the Rfam family "Bacterial small subunit ribosomal RNA", at positions 524 to 776 of the family's 1533-position model. The record is from RNAcentral.
UACGGGGGGGGCAAGCGUUGUUCGGAAUUACUGGGCGUAAAGGGCUCGUAGGCGGCCAACUAAGUCGGACGUGAAAUCCCCAGGCUCAACCUGGGAACUGCGUCCGAUACUGGAUGGCUUGAAUCCGGGAGAGGGAUGCAGAAUUCCAGGUGUAGCGGUGAAAUGCGUAGAUAUCGGGAGGAACACCAGAGGCGAAGGCGGCCACCUGGACAGAGAUUGACGCUGAGACGCGAAAGCGUGGGGAGCAAACAGG